AGAGUUUGAUCCUGGCUCAGAAUGAACGCUGGCGGGUAAAAAAACGAAUGCCAGUCUAGCGAGAAAGCCCUUUCGGGGGUUUUUAUAACGGCGGACGAGUGAGUAAUAUGCGAGAACCUACCCUUUAGUGAAGAAUACCCUUGAGAAAUUGAGGUUAAUACUGCAUGAGUCCCUGCGGGGAGAAAGGCAACUUUAUGUUGUCGCUGAAGGAUGGGCUUGCACGCUAUCAGCUAGUUGGUGAGGUAACGGCUCACCAAGGCUAUGACGGCUAACCGGCCUGAGAGGGUGUACGGUCACGUUGGAACUGAGAUACGGUCCAAACUCCUACGGGAGGCAGCAGUGAGGAAUAUUGCACAAUGGGCGAAAGCCUGAUGCAGCUACUCUUUUUUGGAGGAUGAAGGUCUUCGGAUUGUAAAACUCCUGUCAAAUGGGACCACAGAUCUGUCCAUAAUAUGGAUGGAGGAUGACGGUACCAUUAGAGGAAGCACCGGCUAACUUCGUGCCAGCAGCCGCGGUAAUACGAGGGGUGCAACGUUAUUUGGAAUUACUGGGCGUAAAGGGUGU
This 564-nucleotide ribosomal RNA is filed under the name uncultured bacterium. Its description in RNAcentral is "bacterial SSU rRNA". It matches the Rfam family "Bacterial small subunit ribosomal RNA", at positions 8 to 570 of the family's 1533-position model. The record is from RNAcentral.